UACGGGGGGGAGCAAGCGUUGUUCGGAUUUACUGGGCGUAAAGAGCGCGCAGGCGGUCGUUCAAGUCGAAUGUGAAAGCCCCCCGGCUUAACUGGGGAGGGUCAUUCGAUACUGUUCGACUUGAAGGCAGGAGAGGGCAGCAGAAUUCCCGGUGUAGUGGUGAAAUGCGUAGAUAUCGGGAGGAAUACCAGUGGCGAAGGCGGGUCUCUGGGCCGAUACUGACGCUGAGGAGCGAAAGCGUGGGGAGCAAACAGG
Molecule: ribosomal RNA, 255 nt
Filed under: uncultured bacterium
Lineage: Bacteria
Description: partial 16S ribosomal RNA
Rfam family: Bacterial small subunit ribosomal RNA
Source: RNAcentral